UGAGCUAUUAUUUGCUUCUCAAAGGAUUUGUUACCCAACAAAACUAAAUAGAAUUCCUACCUAUUGUAGAGCCCCCUUUGUACACUUCAAUAUGAAUUUAUUUGUAGGUUUACUCCUUACUUCAGUAUAGCAAAGUACAACCAGGAUGGAUUCCAACCUCCAGGCCCAUAUCUCCCAUAAAUACUCCCGUAGAAAGGGAAGGUGGGUUCUUUAAUGGAAACCACAAGUAUCUCUUUGAGGCAGACAUCUGAACUCAUGACUAACUUCUUAGAAAAUGUACUCAAAGGGCCAGGCACGGUGGCUCAUGCCUGUAGUCCCAGCACUUUGGGAGGCCAAGGCAGGUGGAUCACGAAGUCAGGAGAUCGAGACCAUCCUGGCUAAC
This 382-nucleotide long non-coding RNA is filed under the name Homo sapiens (human). RNAcentral describes it as "HSALNT0312560". Lineage: Eukaryota; Metazoa; Chordata; Mammalia; Primates; Hominidae. The record is from RNAcentral.